RNAcentral lists this long non-coding RNA (1253 nucleotides) under Vigna radiata. Its description in RNAcentral is "long non-coding RNA (VRAD_LNC000296)". The record is from RNAcentral. Lineage: Eukaryota; Viridiplantae; Streptophyta; Magnoliopsida; Fabales; Fabaceae.
GAUCAUACCUUGGAGUGGUGACACGUGAUAAGAUUAGCAUUCUUGUUCCAUCUUUUGAUCAUGUGUCCGAGGUUGAUCGGAACGUUAUUUGGAACGAUAUAUUGGUAAGUUAAUUAAUAGCAUUUGAAUUAAAAUUUGUUUAUAUUGAUAAUUUUGUANUAAUACAACUUUAUUAUGUUUAUUUCAGCUGACAUUUGACAUUCCAAAUGUCCCAUCACUUAGAAAUAAGUGUUUGUCAACUGUUGCAGAAAAUUUCAGAAACUUUAAAAGCAAGUUGACAUCACGAUACAUCUAUGGAAAGCAUAAAGAUAAGAGUCCAUGUAGUUCAUAUAAGUCCAUUGAUGAAGACACUUGGCAGCGUUUUAAAGAGAGUCGGUUGUCAGAGGAAUGGUAGGUUAUUAUAAUUGAUAUUAUUCAAUUCUUCAUUAACAAAUAUAUAUCAUAUGAACUAAUUAAUUAAUGUGUAUGUGAUAGGCAAUUAGGAGCAAAGCACAAGAAACAAGUGCUCANAANAAAAACCCNCACCUAUUAUCUCNUNGUGGGUAUANGAAGCUUGAGGAGAAAAUCCUCAAGCAAAAGGCAGAUGCUAUAGCACCAUCUCAGGGUGGUAGCCCUCCUCAGCCUCCUUCUCCACCGUCUAGACAUNAGAAAUGGAAGUUNGCCCGUAUGCGACCAUCGGGCACCUACUCUUCCGACACUGCACGAGAGAUUUCUGAAAGAAUUGUAAGUUAUCACUGUUCCUAAAAUAAUAAGUAUUGUCAUUUUACAUACUACAUUAAACUAAUGGUGUUUUUGUAAUGUUACAGGACGCCUUGGUUGAGCAGAGCUCCCAAGGCCAAUUCACUCCAGAGGGUCGCCAGGAUAUUCUUGCUGCUGCGAUUGGACGACCUGAGCACCCUGGACGUGUACGUGCUGCAGGUCCUGGAGUAGGAAUUAAAGAUUAUUUUGGGAGCUCUUCUCGUCAGCGUUCAUAUUCAUACCGCGAUACACAAUGGAUGACAAAAGAGAUCACAAAAAAGGUCCGAGAAGACCUUAGAGAGGAGAUCAGGGCCGAGGUUAGAUCACAAAAAAGGUCCGAGAAGACCUUAGAGAGGAGAUCAGGGCCGAGGUUAGAUCAGAGAUGAGGGCUGAAUUCCAAAGCAUGUUCCAGCAGCAGUUUCAGAACAUGCGCCCGGUGCCAUCUCCUAUAGAGGAACAUGUUAUCCCUGCCCUUCCCACAGGUAAACUUAAUAAACAUUUAUGUGCAAUUAUUU